UCUGGUCAGGACGAACGCUGGCGGCGUGCUUAACACAUGCAAGUCGAGCGAUGAAGCUUCUUCGGAAGUGGAUUAGCGGCGGACGGGUGAGUAACACGUGGGUAACCUGCCUCAUAGAGGGGAAUAGCCUUCCGAAAGGAAGAUUAAUACCGCAUAAGAUUGUAAUAUCGCAUGAUAUAGCAAUUAAAGGAGCAAUCCGCUAUGAGAUGGACCCGCGUCGCAUUAGCUAGUUGGUGAGGUAACGGCUCACCAAGGCGACGAUGCGUAGCCGACCUGAGAGGGUGAUCGGCCACAUUGGGACUGAGACACGGCCCAGACUCCUACGGGAGGCAGCAGUGGGGAAUAUUGCACAAUGGGGGAAACCCUGAUGCAAGCAACGCCGCGUGAGUGAUGACGGUCUUCGGAUUGUAAAGCUCUGUCUUCAGGGACGAUAAUGACGGUACCUGAGGAGGAAGCCACGGCUAACUACGUGCCAGCCGCCGC
This 483-nucleotide ribosomal RNA is filed under the name uncultured bacterium. RNAcentral's name for it is "bacterial SSU rRNA". It matches the Rfam family "Bacterial small subunit ribosomal RNA", at positions 19 to 518 of the family's 1533-position model. The record is from RNAcentral.